RNAcentral lists this unclassified non-coding RNA (229 nucleotides) under air metagenome. RNAcentral's name for it is "partial contains small subunit ribosomal RNA, internal transcribed spacer 1, and 5.8S ribosomal RNA". The stretch from base 1 to 46 matches the Rfam family "Eukaryotic small subunit ribosomal RNA", at positions 1786 to 1831 of the family's 1831-position model. The record is from RNAcentral.
AAGUCGUAACAAGGUUUUCGUAGGUGAACCUGCGGAAGGAUCAUUAGUGAAGUCUUUAAGAACGCUCGCAAGAGGUUCGACUACACUUUAUCAUAACACUGUGAACUUGAAAUUCGUAACUUGUCUUUCGGGACUCGUUCGAAACCCUUAGUCUUAUUAAACCAGUCUUGAAUGUAAACCUUUGAUUAAACGAAAGUAACAACUUUCAGCAACGGAUUUCUUGGCUCUC